RNAcentral lists this ribosomal RNA (720 nucleotides) under Taphiassa castanea. Its description in RNAcentral is "SSU rRNA". It matches the Rfam family "Eukaryotic small subunit ribosomal RNA", at positions 407 to 1130 of the family's 1831-position model. The record is from RNAcentral. Lineage: Eukaryota; Metazoa; Arthropoda; Arachnida; Araneae; Mysmenidae.
CUACCACAUCCAAGGAAGGCAGCAGGCGCGCAAAUUACCCACUCCCGGAACGGGGAGGUAGUGACGAAAAAUAACAAUACGGGACUCUUUUGAGACCCCGUAAUUGGAAUGAGUACACUCUAAAUCCUUUAACGAGGACCAAUCGGAGGGCAAACCUGGUGCCAGCAGCUGCGGUAAAUCCAGUUCCGAUAGCGUAUAUUAAAGUUGUUGCGGUUAAAAGGCUCGUAGUUGGAUCUCGGUUCCGGACGGGUGGUCCGCCUACCGGCGGUCACUGCCCGUCUGAACGCGCGGCGUCGGUUUCCCCUGAUGAUCUUCACCGGUUGUCUCGGGUGACCGGCAAGUUUACUUUGAAAAAAUUAGAGUGCUCAAAGCAGGCUCAACGCCUGGACAAUGGUGCAUGGAAUAAUGGAAUAGGACCUCGUUUCUAUUCUGUUGGUCUUCGGAACACGAGGUAAUGAUUAAGAGGGACAGACGGGGGCAUUCGUAUUGCGACGCUAGAGGUGAAAUUCUUGGACCGUCGCAGGACGAACUACUGCGAAAGCAUUUGCCAAGAAUGUUUCCAUUAAUCAAGAACGAAAGUUAGAUGACCGAAGGCGAUCAGAUACCGCCCUAGUUCUAACCGUAAACGAUGCCAGCUAGCGAUCCGGCUGUGUUCCUCAAAUGACACGCCGGGCAGCUUCCGGGAAACCAAAGCGUUUGGGUUCCGGGGGAAGUAUGGUU